Non-coding RNA from Manis javanica (Malayan pangolin), 1686 nucleotides. Lineage: Eukaryota; Metazoa; Chordata; Mammalia; Pholidota; Manidae. The record is from RefSeq and is a predicted model, not a curated record.
AAUGAGCAAAGGGCAGAGAAAUGAAAAAGUCAACAGGGCCCAGGUCAUGGACAGCAUUAUGCCUAAACCCAAACCAGCAGCUGGCAACCUCUGGGUUUCUAACUUUCCUGGUAGAGAAAGAGAGAGAGAGAGAGAAGAAAAGACCCCCUAUGAUGUUGCUUCCACAAAACGUGCACUGAGAAAGCGGGUUGGGCCCAGCGUUCAGCUGGAGUCUCCGUCUCUCCCUGCUCAUGAGGCCUGAGGCUGAGCUUUUUCCACAUUCAUCUCGGAGCUGCUGCAGCAUGACAGGCCGCGGGACUCUGGGCCUCGGUGAGAAGUGACCCGCCGCUGGUGAGAACUAGUCAGCAGACAACAUGAUUCGGAGGAAGUGAGUGAUCUUUACCUGUCAGGUGAGUGGCUGUGAUGAUCAAGGAAACCCCUGCAUGGAGCAUGAAGCCCUCUCAGCCUGAGUUUGACCUUUCUUGGAGUGUUUUGUGGAGCUUCGAGAGGUGUGCCUAGAUCUCCAGGACUUGCCAUCCUGCUGGGAGAGAAGAUUCCCAGACAUAAGUCAGCAGGCAGUCAAUCCAGUCUGUGGCCAGAGGCAGGAGGCCAAGGCACUGCAGGAGGGAGAAAGACGCUGGGUGCAAGAUUCUUCUAGAAGGUGGGUCUUAAGCCAGACCUCGAGGGAGGAAGCCCAUGAGGGUGGUUGGCCAUGGGGGAAGACUGAGGGCAGGAACACCAGGAGCAAAGGCCGGGCAACGGCCUGAAUUGAGUUAGGGGCAGAGUGAGAUUCACAGGGCCCCAGGGCCCCAGGCAGGCAGGCAGAGGCGGGACGGACUGCAGCAGGGUCAGGCUGUCCCUCUCUCUACAUGGCUCAAAGUGAUCUCACGGGGGGCCUUGGGACCCCGCAGCAGUUUCUGUGCUCUGCCUUCUGGACUGGCACCACCCAGUGAGGCCCUGAGAGCGAAAUGCACUGGUAUCCACUCAUCCCAGAGCCACGGCAGCCCGGCAUGGUGAUCCCGGAGCACAGAAGUGGUGUGACAGCCUUAUCACUACUGCCCUUGUCUUAGCUUCAUGGGGGCUGCAACUUUGAGCUGAGCAGCAGAGACUUGGAGUUACAAGACUCAGUUUAUAACUCACCAACUUGCAAUCAAAUUGGAAAGAGAGCAUGUGUGAAGUGUUACGGCUAAAUGUCAAAGGCUUCAGAGAAUGAAGGGAGAAGGACCUGGAGUCAAAUCCAGGCAGGCUAAGGAAGGACCAAGCCCAGUGGGUCCUGAGCAAAUAUGUACCCUGGGCCAUUCAUUUACUCAACAAGUAAUGAGCCAUCAUUAAACUCGCUGGAUGCCGUGUGUGCAGCAAUGGGGCCACAGGUAAGGAGCCAAAUCUCAUGGAACCUCAAGUUUCAUGGUGGGAGGAAGCCCAUAAACAUAAGAAAAACUAAUAGAGUUGUGUAGGGGGGUAAGGAGUGACAAGUUGCAGGGGACAGAUUGGGUCUUCCAAGGCCUCCCUGAGGAGUAGCCUCUGACAGGAGAUGCAGAUGGUGAGAAGGGGUGUGGGGUCUGGUGCCAAGGGAACGCUCCAGAGUUGCCCCGUGUAUGGGUAGGAAUCCACAGGUCACAUUUAGGAGACAAGAGCAGUUUGCUGUGCACUGCAGUGUUCUUAGACUGUCGCCUGCAUUAACACACAGCCCCUGUAGGAGGGGCAGGG